Long non-coding RNA from Coturnix japonica (Japanese quail), 2060 nucleotides. RefSeq lists it as uncharacterized. NCBI's taxonomy places the organism in Eukaryota, Metazoa, Chordata, Aves, Galliformes, Phasianidae. The record is from RefSeq and is a predicted model, not a curated record.
CCCUGCGAACACGGCCGAGCCGCUGCUGCCUGAGCGCCCCGAGGGGUGCUGCCAAGGAAGCCCGCUGCACCUGCUUUGGGGCUCAGAGGCAGUAUUUCCUCUGUGCCUAGUGCUGCAAAUCACGGAGGAACCCUGACCAGCUGCGGCAAGAGGAGCGGCCCUGGCACAACAACGUAAUAGUAACUUGGCUGCCUGAGAGCACAGAGCUGACACUGUAGUUUGCCUCGAAUCACAGAACUGUGAUUUAUGGGGGAGCACAAUGUACUGUUCCUGUGGCCCAUCUUUUAGUUGUGACAUAAGACCUGUAUUUCUCCCUCACGGCAAUAUUUCUGGUUCUGCCUCCUGCGCCUGGUUGUGGAAGAAGACCUGCUGCAGACAACCUGCUGUGCCCAUUCAUCUUCCUUAGUGCUUCUGGAGACCCUUGCACAACAUCCUGCCACAAGUGUGAAAACACAAAACUCCUGUUCUUCUGUGUGACGGCCCUGGAAACCUGUAAGGAAACUAUUAAGACUUGCACAUAAGGAAAGUAACAGCUGGUCAACUGCUGGGAUUUUCCUAAGUCCCAUCACUCAGAGACAAAGGAAUAAAAUGUAGCUCUUAAAAAAAAAGCCAGCCCCCCAAAACAUGCUAAUACCUUUUUAAGAAUGAACAAGGGAUUAUAUAUAAAAAACAAUAAAAAGCUCAUCCACCCAAAUAUUGUAGUCUGAUAGUCUUGUAUCUAUUUCUCUUUACAAAGAUUGCCCUUAAAACAGCUAUACCUGCUGCCUAAUUCUCUGCUAAGAGAGGACAAAACAAGCCUUCCGUGAGGCCAAACUACAACCUGGGAAAGACAAGAGAUCUUCUAAAGCAGAAACAUUAAUCCUAUUUCAAUAUUCUGCAAUUUCCCAAGUUACAAACAAGUAUAACCUGUUCAUAAGUUGAGCUUUGUAAACAUCUCAAUUCUGUGAAAUCUUUACUAAGAUAAUUUUCCAAAGAAGGGCUUUCUUUGUGAUGGGAAUAGAAGUUUUGAGUUGUGUAACCCAUCAGUAUUUAAAAAUGGGACCAGAUGACAUGAACCUUCAUGCUGAUCGUAUUUCAAAUGUUCGGGAAUGGUCAUAACGUUUUGUUGGAAAACCUUUAUUUGUAUUUUCUCUUCUCAGCAUCAUUUUGCCAAAAAUCUUUCUCUAAGCCAAGUAAAACAGGAAAGGUUAUUAUAAAGAGAAUUAAUGGGAGGACAAACACAGCUGAAGCAGAUUAUAGAUGCAGAAAACAACAUGAGUGUUUCCAAAGAGCUUCUAACGUGGCUCUCUAAGGCCUGUGCCCUGUGGCCUUAGAGAAGUCCUUUUCUUUCCAAACACAAUAGCCAAUAAGAGCUGCUGUCUACAGCUGCCAUUAUUUUCUCUGGAUGCAUCAUGACUGUCAAAAUCAAGUCACGGAUCAUGUCCCAGAUUCCUAAAUUGCUUUGCACCCGAGGCCACCUUACCCAGGCACACCAAUCAGAAAUUAGGAGUCAUUGCACAUGUGUAGAAGCCUGUCACAAUCCUGAAGUUUCAGCAACGUUAGCAGCUCUGAGGUGCAGAGAGCCCAUUACCAUCCCACCUUCCUCCCACCUGCCCUGGGCAGAUGUCCCUGGGUGAGCUCAGCACACCUAUAUUAUAUGUUAGUGUAAAACCAGGCCAUGCAGCAGCCUGGUCUUUUGGGACAUUUUGAGCUUGGACAGCAUUUUUCUGUGUGAUAUUAGAAAAGUUAGUUUAUUAUUGAGCAACUGCAUCCAAAGGGUGAAAGAACCAUUACAUCACAGGUAACCAAUGCACGCCAUUUCCAGCUACAAUGUAUAUUAAUUGACCAGUGUUCUAACUUCUGUAUAAAAGCCAUUUGUAUUUUCUUCAUGACAUUUGUGCGCUAUUUCAUGUCUGUGUUUUGUUUUUUAAAGCUCUCUCCCCAGCAGAGAAUAACCUGCUGCUUGUAGCAAAGGCAGAAACUUGUAACGUGUUAGUGACAUUUCACACUCAUUAUUUCAGCAGUUGUAAGCACAUAAUCAAACCUUGUUAAUAAAUCACCAAAUAUUGUGAAAGCUUAAA